Molecule: long non-coding RNA, 4360 nt
Organism: Bufo gargarizans (Asiatic toad)
Lineage: Eukaryota; Metazoa; Chordata; Amphibia; Anura; Bufonidae
Exons: 5
Source: RefSeq, a predicted model, not a curated record
GAAUGUGGACGGGUAGCUGCAGCUCUCGGUGCUCGGCGUAUCUGCAGAUCUUUAGUAAAUCAGCCGUCGAUGAACCGAAGGAUUGGCCGAUCAGUGAUCGUCUGCCCGGAGAUUGCAGGAUCAGAUCUUGGAGGACGCAGCCAUGUCUGGAAGCCGCUUCGCAGUCCUCGCCGGAUUUGUACUGACGGUUCUCUCCUGUAUAGACGCCAGCACUAGACUCACCGUUAACGUGAUUCCUCCGACGCCUAAACCUGGAGACCUCGUCACCCUCAGCGUCUUUGGCGUUCAGGGAACCAUCCAUUUUUCAACUUGGUACAAAGGUCUGAGCACGAGCGCCACGGAGCAGAUCCUGUCCCAUUUCAACCAUGGGGACAUCCGUGGAGACAAGUACUUCCCCGAGGCCAGCGGCCGGCCCAAUGGUUCACUAGUGAUUCAGGGUUUUCGGAAGGAAUUUUAUGGUGACUACACCGUUCAAAUACAGACAAGCAUCAUUCUGCAAGAGGGCAAAGUGACUGUGAGUGGUGUCUCAUGUGCUGCACUCUCUGCUUUCGCUCCUCUCUUCGGAUUACUCUUAUAUUCUUCCUUCAGCUACCUAUGACUCCAGCAGAGGACAGAUGUUGAAGGGAUUUUCAGCUUAAGUUUAUGAGAUCAGGAAUGGAAGGAAAGGCGCAACGGCAGCGGUGCGGACCCUCCGCCAUUUAGUAUGAGAAGCCGCCACCGAAUGAACGAAGAGGGAAGAAGACGCCAAAUCCCAAUGUCUCCUGACCACCACCUCCAGGGGCAUUGACCCCUCCAUUAACCUCUUCCUCGCCACACCUUGGUUCACCUCAUACGUGACGGCUCUAUGAUUCUGACAUUUACUAAUUUAUUCAACACUGACAACUAUUAACCAUUUUGCUACCAGCGCCCGCGAUGGAGCAAUGUGCGAACAUGGCGCCCGCACGCACGUGCAGCGGGCAUUAUGGCCGGCAGAUCUCUGCUGUUUCAUACAGCAGAGACCUGCGGCUAAUUACCGUGACCGGCAAUAAUGCUGAUCGUGGUAAUUAAAUGCUUUAGAGGCCGUGACCAAGCGAGGUCACGGCAUCUAAAUGCGCAAAAACCGAUGUCCCGUGUGGCCUAAUGCGGCUCCAGUCCUUGUGCUGAACACGGUCAGCCUCGCUGAUGAGUGUUCAAGCUGCAGGUCUUAUUUUGGCCACCAGAUGGCAGGCCGGGAGAAGAAAUGGCAAAUAUAAAACCCCUGAUAAACUAAUAAUAAACUCAUAAAUGAGCCACAAAAUGAUCCGAAUUUUUUAUUUUAAAGUUAAAUUACAUUAAAAAUAUAAAAGUUUAAAUCACCCCCCCCUUUUCUUAUAAUUAAAAAAUAAAUACCUCAAUAACAAUAAAUAUAACCUCAUGGGUAUCGCUGUGACUGAAAACACCCGGACUAUUAAAAUAUUUAAAAAAAAAGUCCAAAAUGGCGAAUGGGGGAAAAAAGGGUCAAAAUGGCCGAUUUGUAAUUUUUUUACAUUGCUUCUCUUGCCCCAAAAAAGUAUAAAAUGUGAUAAAAAAGUCACCACACUCCGAAACGGUAUCAAUAAAAAGUGCAGAUUGUUCCUCAAAGCGUGAGCCCCACUCAGCUCCGCAGACAAGUGUAAGAAGUUAUGGGGGGCAGAAUAUGGUGAUGUACAUUCUUUUUUAUCAAAGUAAAGAUGUAUUUUUGCACUAUUUAGACAUGAACCCUAUCCAUACGCGGAAUCGCUGUAAUCGGACGGACCCAGAGAAUGAAGGGUCGGUUUGGCAAACGUAGUGGGAACAAAACCUGUAAAACGGUGGAGGAAUUUUAUGCCGUGGUUAAUGGUGGAAUUAGAAAGUACAAAAUCUCCCGCAAAAGAAUAAGCCCUCGUGCAGCUAUGUGUCCGGAAAUAUAAAAAAGUUAUGGCUCACGGAAAAUAGGGAAGAAAAAUGAAAACAAAAAACCCUCCGGUAGCCAAGGGGUUAAAGGUACAGGCAGCCGCAUUCUCGCCCGUAAGGAGGCGGCCGGGGAGCAGCUUUAUCUGUCUGCGGUACUUCACACAUCUAUCAUUAUCUCCAUCGACCCGUGAACAUGUUUAUUAUCAGAGCGCAAUGAUCUCCAGCCUGUGGCGCUUCAGCUGCUGUAACACUACAAGUCCCAGCAUGCCCUGACAACCAGAGAGUGUCUCUGCGCCAGUCUGCUCUAUGCUAGUCCUAUCUAGGAACAUCUAAGGAUCAUCACUCUACAAGUGAGGACAGGACCAGCCUUUCCUUGUCUCAUAUUAGACUGCACCCUUUCAAUGCUGAUCUCACUGGAGAAGCCACGGCCGGUCAAGCAUUUCCUCUGCCGAAAAUGAAGACAGAACUGAAGGGAAGAAGUAAAGACCAUAGUUAUCACAAACUGCAUUUCUGAGGGUGGUCAUGAUGAAAUGGGCCUAACAUGUACAUCCCUGGUAUAACAUAAUAUGGGAGCACUAAUAUGAGGGUCUACCUGGUAUAACGUGAGGUGGGAGCACUGACAAGAGGGUCUACCUGGUAUAACGUGAGGUGGGAGCGCUGACAAGAGGGUCUACCUGGUAUAACGUGAGGUGGGAGCGCUGACAAGAGGUUCUGUAUAACAUGAGGUGGGAUCGCUGACGUGAGGGUCUACCUGGUAUAACGUGAGGUGGGAGCGCUGACGUGAGAGUCUACCUGGUAUAACGUGAGGUGGGAGGGCUGACAUGAGGGUCUACCUGGUAUAACGUGAGGUGGGAGCGCUGACAAGAGAGUCUACCUGGUAUAACGUGAGGUGGGAGCGCCGACAAGAGGUUCUGUAUAACAUGAGGUGGGAUCGCUGACGUGAGGUUCUACCUGGUAUAACGUGAGGUGGGAGUGCUGACAUGAGGGUCUACCUGGUAUAACGUGAGGUGGGAGGGCUGACAUGAGGGUCUACCUGGUAUAACGUGAGGUGGGAGUGCUGACAUGAGGGUCUACCUGGUAUAAUGUGAGGUGGGAGCGCUGACAUGAGGGUCUACCUGGUAUAAUGUGAGGUGGGAGCGCUGACAUGAGGGUCUACCUGGUAUAACGUGAGGUGGGAGCGCUGACAAUAGGGUCCACCUGGUAUAACGUGAGGUGCGAGAGCUGACAAGAGGGUCUACCUGGUAUAACGUGAGGUGGGAGAGCUGACAAGAGGGUCUACCUGGUAUAACAUGAGGUGGAAGUGCUGACAUGAGGUUCUACCUGGUAUAACGUGAGGUAGGAGUGCUGACAUGAGGUUCUACCUGGUAUAACGUGAGGUGGGAGCGCUGACGUGAGGGUCUACCUGGUACUACGUGAGGCGGCAGCGCUGACAUGAGGGUCUACCUGGUACUACGUGAGGCGGCAGCGCUGACAUGAGGGUCUACCUGGUAUAAUGUGAGGUGGGAUCGCUGACAUGAGGUUCUGUAUAACAUGAGGUGGGAUCGCUGACGUGAGGUUCUACCUGGUAUAACGUGAGGUGGGAGAGCUGACAAGAGGGUCUACCUGGUACUACGUGAGGCGGCAGCGCUGACAUGAAGGUCUACCUGGUAUAAUGUGAGGUGGGAGCGCUGACAUGAGGGUCUACCUGGUAUAAUGUGAGGUGGGAGCGCUGACAUGAGGGUCUACCUGGUAUAACGUGAGGUGGGAGCGCUGACAAUAGGGUCUACCUGGUAUAACGUGAGGUGGGAGAGCUGACAAGAGGGUCUACCUGGUAUAACGUGAGGUGGGAGAGCUGACAAGAGGGUCUACCUGGUAUAACGUGAGGGGGAAGUGCUGACAUGAGGUUCUACCUGGUAUAACGUGAGGUGGAAGCGCUGACAUGAGGUUCUACCUGGUAUAACGUGAGGUGGAAGCGCUGACACGAGGUUCUACCUGGUAUAACAUGAGGUGGAAGUGCUGACAUGAGGGUCUACCUGGUAUAACGUGAGGUGGAAGUGCUGACAUGACGGUCUACCUGGUAUAACGUGAGGUGGGAGCGCUGACAUGAGGGUCUACCUGGUAUAACAUGAGGCGGGAGGGCUGACAUGAGGUUCUACCUGGUAUAAUGUGAGGUGGGAGUGCAGACAUGAGAUUCUACCUGGUAUAACAUGAGGUGGAAGCAAUAACAUGGAGUUCUCCACACCGUACAUCACCUCAUACAUCCAGGUGCUGUGACCGCCACUUAUCAUCUCAUUCUUGCAUCCUUUGGUUUCUCUUCAUGUCUCAUAUGUAGAGGUUGCUGUGCAGUGAAUCUACUGACACUUGUUCACCUUGUUCCCUUCUCUCGCCUUCACCCCUUCCCUUUAAUAUUGUUUGUUAUUUGCAUUUUCUGCAGAACUUAAUGAUUUGUUCCUAAAGAUGAAAAGAUUAAAUAAAAACUAAAAACAGAAAA